RNAcentral lists this long non-coding RNA (8189 nucleotides) under Triticum aestivum (bread wheat). RNAcentral describes it as "long non-coding RNA (TAES_LNC028530)". Lineage: Eukaryota; Viridiplantae; Streptophyta; Magnoliopsida; Poales; Poaceae. The record is from RNAcentral.
GGGAAGCGGGAGGUGCGCUUUCCUUCCUAUUCAACGCAUAAGUCGCUGAAUAGGAGCUCCCAUAUGUAGCUAGGAGGAGGCUGAAACCGGCACCAAGCUCUUCUCUCCCACCUCUGUCUCUCUUCUUCAAUUCCCUCCAUGCUACCCGUGCAUCUCGAAUUAACUACCUCUUGAUUGGUUAGCAAGUGGGACGCUAACAUGAAUGGUAAUUAAAAUUCAUAUAUCAUAUGACCAGACACCACUCCCUGAACAAGACCCAUACCUAAUUGAAUUUCUGUUGAUCAAUUAUCAAUGUUGCAUGAGCAGUAAAACUAGUUAUGCAACAGCAUAAAGUGGAACAAAUGGUUGUCCAAAAGAGAGCUACAAAAGGGUUUUGCAAAGUGAUAAAAGUGCAAUCUGUUUGAUUACUUCGUCCUUUGAAUAAUCUUCAUGGCCUUUGUUCUAUAAAAAGGAAAAUCAAAGGGCAAUCGCAAUUGAGGUGGCCGGUUCCCAUGAUCGUUUCAUCAAAUUUUCAUUCAAAAAGAAAAGGUGCCUCUAGCUAGGUAGUAGCCUAUCCAGAAGACGCGCCGGACGUCAAAAGAUACAGCAGAUCCUUCGGAUCGAGGUUGGGCGUCGGAGGGCCCCUCUCUUUGAAACCAUGAAGGUCAGGCGUACAAGUUGGACUAGAUGCACAUGAAGAUUUCACGCGAGUUCUGACAUGGUUAUUAUCGUCGUGUUAAGCAAACAGAGUGGUGUCGCCUCUACCGACUUAUUAGCAGUGGUCUCCAGUGAGUCCACUCCCUGAAACAGAACACUCUCGGUUAGCUGUGCGUGUGGGCACUCCAAGUUCACAAGCAAAAUCUAUUGUUGACUUUUUUUUUUGAAAAGGAGGAUGACCUUCGGCCUCUGCAUCUGGGCGAUGCAUGCGGCCACAAAUCUAUUGUCGACUGAUUUGGCACCUACUGAAAUAACUGAAACUUGCCAAGUUUUUGCUGAAAUUUCAUGGAAAGCCAGAACCAUCACAUCAUGCCUUAUAGGCUGCUGUGCGUAGAUACUACACUACAGUAUAAUCAAUACAUUCAUAAGGGUUUGGCAUGGCAUGAUUCUUUCCACAUACGUAUAUCCGACUCAUGGCACACUCAUACACGCCACCUCACUCAUUGGCCGAAUCCAUGCCAAUCCAAACAGCAAGAUUUCCCCUAUAAUAUUACCCGAAAUCUCAAAAGUGCACGCGCACUUUUUUGCGAGACCGAGCGGCCCGCUGUAAACCGCACGAUUUCAAUCACACGCAUUCAUUCCCACUUUAGGUGUCAUCUGGUCGGGAGCCCACCCACCCGUCAUCCCACUCCGGCCAGUCGGCCGAGCCCACCAUCCACCCUGUUGUCUCUCGCAUCUUCCCAAAUUCAUCUGGAUCCAAUCGCCGCCAGCUCCUCCGAGCGCCUCCUCCGAGCGCGGCCCUCACCAGAUCCACAUGACCGCAUCCACAUGCUGGCCUCCUCCUCUGGCCCGACCCCGAGAUCCCCCACCCGGACCCUCCCCGGCGACGAUGCGGUCUAGGCCGCCGUGGAGCCAUGGAUCCAGGCCAUGGCCCUCCCUGCUCGUCCCUCCAUCCCCUCUACAACGGUGAAGACGAGGCCCUAGCACUCGCCUCCCCCACGAGCUCCAGGUAUGAGGUCCAAGACCCGCCUCAUCUGGAUCGGGCCACGGUGUCGCGCCACCACCACGUGAACCCGGCUGCCUCCUCCGCCAUUGACGACAUCCACACGGACGGCCGUGCACCACCAACACCACCACCUCUCCCCCCGACAAUCGGCUACAUGGAGGUCGUGUGGGUGCUCCCUGCGGCCUCUCCUCUCUCUCUCCAUAGUUGCAAUGGAUGCCUGGAAAAGAAUUAAGAACAUGUACGAGCAAGCUAAGCGAUCAACAGAAUCCUGAUGCAGUACUGACCAAUCCUUACUGUGUAUCUCAAUUCAGAAACAUCAUUUGCUUUUUUGUUUCUGGUAUUUGAUCUGAUGCAUCUAUACCUGACAUGGGAUUAUUCUGCAUUUGGUACAUCAAUUUCUAUUUUAAGUUGCUAUGCUCGACCGUCCAACUGAGUAAUUUGAUUGUCGUAUUCUUGCUUGGUAGGUUAUCUCAUUCCUGAGGGGAACAGCGUUUGAGCAGCCGCUGCCGGAUUUGGUAUCGUUCCUUUACAAGAACAGGAUCAUGUACCUGGCCGUCACUAGGCUCCUCAUUGGAGCGAUCAAUUUUGCGCCUGGAUCUAAUGCUCUCUCACCUUUAUUUCUCUGAUCUACGAUCUUACAUGUUGUAGUGCCUUUUUUUGAGUAAACUGUGAAAUACUACUAGUCUAGUUGCACUAUAGUAGUCUCGGUUGAAUAUAAUUAUCGGGAAGUUGCACAAUACGGUGAUAUUAAAUUGGCUAGAUGAUGUUUUCGCUUAAGUUAAUUUAUUUUUGCUAGUCACAUUUUGGUUGGCAUCCACAAUAGUUGUAGUUGCACACAUGAUAUCUCACGCUUGUAUUACUUAAGUAUAGUUAGACACGCGACCAACUACUACUGUAAACUGGAAGAAUGUUGCACACGCACGACCAUGAAGUUGCUCACUCUCGUUGGUAUAGUCGCACACGUGCGACCGCUUGAAAUAAGUGUUUUCUUUAGUCAGCUAACACUAUAACGCUUGUAUGUUCUGUAAAUUAUCAAUCUUGAAUUUUCUGAAGAGCAUAGAAAGAGUUGCACAACCAUAUUUUCAGAGUUGCACAUUGACUACCAUGCAGUUGGUCAGGGCUGUUGUCAAAGUUGCACAUCCUACUGGUAGGGAUUUGCUUAAGUCAAUCUAUUUUUGCUAGUCACAUUUUUUGUUGGCAUCUGCAGUAUUGUAGUUGCGCAUAUAGUAGUUCUCGGUUGGAUAUGACUAUGAAAACUUGUACAACACUACUAUAAACUGAAAGCAUGUCGUCCUACAAGUAGGCCUCAUCGCCCACCUUUUUUGCAACUAGGCAGGUCCCCUUAUCCAAGUUGUUUUGAAUGGUUGGUGAAGGAGAGGUGCACAAUACCAUCCAACUAGUUGACAUCCUCAGUCUUUUUGUAGCUACAUUGACACCCUCAACAUUUUCUUCUAGAAGCCUGAAACCUGAAUGUGCAAUUUUUUGAUUGGUCAUGCAAGUGUUGAAUAUUUCUUUUACCAAGACUAUCUAAUUAAUUGGCAUCCUUAAGAUUUAUAAUUGCACAAGAGUAUUCAAUUAGUUGGCAUCCACAACAUUUCUACUUGCACAAACAGUAUCCAACUAAUUGACAUCUUCAGCCUUUCUAGUUACACAAGAAUAACUAUUUUUUAGUCCCAUCUUCAAAUUUUUGAGGGUUGCCCAAGAGUAUCUAAUGACUUGGCACCCUCAACCUUACUAGUUUCACAUGAGUAUUUAAUUAGUUGGCAUCCUGAGCAUUUUCUAGUUACACAAUAGCAUCUAACUAGUUGACAUCCUCAACCUUUCUAGUUGCACAAGAGUAACUAUUUCAGUUGGCAUCCACAUUUUGUAGUUGCACAACUAACAUAAUAUCGAGUUGGCAUCGUCAACCUUUUUUAUCCGGUUUUUCUGAAGAAAAACAAAUAUUUUGUGUGUAGUGUUAACUAAUCACCUUUGGCUCCUUUUGUUUUGCAAAACCGCGGGUUAUCACGUCGGAAUGUGAUCACCUUUGGCACCUUUUUCUGAUGACAAGAAAAAAGAAUUUCGUCUUCUUUUCUGUUUCACUUUUAGUAACAUCCUAUAGAACAUAUUCCCCCUAUUGCAAUUUGUGAGACAAGCCUAUUUGUACGCUCGUUUUUAAUACUGUUCGUGUGCGUUUUCUAGUCUGGUUUCUUUGCUGCACACAUUUACAGCAAAAGUUGGGCUUUGGAUACAAGUUUAGUUGCACAGUUAUAUGUUUAUAUUUGCAGACAGCAAACCCAGUCUUUUUUAGUUUCAUCUAGUCUGUGUGUUGGUUGUACACAUUUUUUGCAGGAAAAGAUGGACUGAAUGUAGUGUCUAUGCAAAUAGAAGCCCAUAUUUGUGCCAACUAAACAUGAAUCCAAAACCAUCUUUUCCUUCAAUGUGUGCAACCAACAACCAAAAGAUUCGAACAGAUGGUCUCCAGUCUGGGCUGUUUUGUUGCACAUUUACAUAAAAAGGUUGGCUUGGACCCAUGCUUAGUUGCACAAAUAUGUUUAGAAACAGUACAACCAGUCCAUCUUUCUAGUUUGGGAUGUUUUUUUUGCACACAUGUUGCAGGAAAGUUGUUUAUGGACCAAUGGCUUAGUUGCACAAAUAUGUGCUUCUUUUUGCACAAACAGUACACCCAGUCCAUCUUUCUAGUCUGGGCUGUUUGUUGCAUAUAUUUUACAGGAAAGUUGUCCUUGGAUUAAUGCUUAGUGUGCACAUAAUAUUUACUCCUUUAUAGUUUUGGUUGUUGGUUGCACACAUUGCAGGAAAAGUUGGCUAGGAUACAUGAUUUAGUUGCACAAAUAUGGGCUUAUAUUUGCACAGACACUACAUCCACUUCAUAUUUCUAGUCUGGGUUGUUUGUUGCACAUUUUUUUUGCAAAACUACUCCCUUGUGUCUAUUUGCGCACAUCCAGGCAGAAGUUGGUUUUGCUACUGGGUCUACUUGCACAGAGUGGUGUUUAAUUACACAGACAACAGAUUACUGUUGCUACUCCCUCCAAUUAUGGAGAAGAUCGGUGGUAGAUCCAGAGGCAAAGGGGAAGGGAAAGUGAAAAAGGGAGGAUCUGGAGCCAGAAGGGAACUUACCUUGAUUGAUGCUGCCUGGUACGCCUCUCUCCUCCCUCUUGUUACCACUUCAGUUCUUGCCAAAAAAAAUCACCUUGUUUGGUUUGCCAUAGCGGCUCUGUAGGUUUUUGGAUCCAGGAUGGGAUCCCCUUUUAUUAUGGAGAAGAAGGAGACGCCGUGGAGGAGGAGGUGUGGGCGAGGGAGAUGUAGGAAGCUUCUGGAGGGUAGUGGGGUCACUCGAUAGCGACCGGGCAUGCUGUUUCUGUUUCGUGGUUUUCGCGUGUCGGAAGGACGCUUUCCUUUUUGGAAACUGGGGGAUGAAGUUUUCCUUAUCUGGCCGGCCGCUUGCGAGCGCAAGCGAGCCAAUGGCCAUCAGCCAGACGCGGGAGGUGAAAAAUGCACAUCCACGAGGUAGGGGGGGAUGCACAUCAACUAUUAGCAGUUGGCCGAGCGGCACAUGGAGUUGCACAUCGUCUACUAGGCAGGUGGACGAGACAACAGAUGAAGUUGCUCAUUACGUGAAGUUGGUUCAUGUAGGACUAAAAUUGCACCACACAGUAUUAUAGUUGAUUGCGGUAGCACAAACGUUGGUUUAAAAAAUAGUUGCAUCUCAUAGUAUAAAAGUUGCAUCAUCUAGUACAACCAGUUGGCAAUGAAAAAAGUUCAUCGAAACAUAUAUAAAUGGGGCCUAGUUUUAAAGAUCUCGUCGCGAGGGUUUCAACGAUGAAAACGAAUUUUAAUUUUGACAUGUAAUUCAAAAGUUAUAGCUUUUUGAAUUUUUUGGAAUGCAAUUAAUUGUCUUUUUUACUUUAUUACUGGCAUGUCAGAGCACAUGGAAAAGAAGUUGGGCCAGCAUAAAGGAAGUGCGUUGGGAGAUACUUUUCGAUUUUGGUCUUCUAGAAGUCAAGCGGACUUUCCUAAUCAGGAGAUGGGACAUAAAUUUUUCUAAUACAGCCGGCUGCCGAGGAGCGCUAGCGAGCGCACGGCUGCUCGCUAGACGCGUCCAUAAUAUUAUCCCCAUAGUGGGGUACUAACCACAUGUGAGAAAAGAGAUGCGUAUGUAUGUAGGGCGGUCAGGUCAUCUCUCACACACAAGCUCAUCAUCUGCCUCCUACAUAUCUAUCCUAUAUAUGAAGAGAAUGAGGUGACAAGACGCCGCCGCACUAAUUAUUGUGAGCCUCCUCCUAUCCACUCGCCUCGUCUCACUCCCGCUUCCAUUUCUUCUCCUCCGUCUGCUUCAUCACCAGAAAUUCACAUUCUUCCUUGUUCUUGCAGUGUCCAAGAGCUGGAUGGCAGUUCCAUGCCAGCCUCCGCAAGGAAGGAAUGAGCUGAUGGCAUACGAUGCCUGUGAUCCUACAGUGAGCGGAGCUGUCGACGACGUCCUCGUCGACGACGGGGUCGGGGAGGACCGCGACGGAGGCAAGGGCCCUGAAGGUCCACAGCGAGGCCGAGCGCCGGCGUCGGGUGAGGAUCAACGCUCAUCUCACGGCGCUCAGGAGGAUGAUCCCUGAUACCAAGCAGGUUUGCGCUAUCAAUAUCUUAGCCAUUUCACCAUUUCAGUGUUGUGAAGCAUCAACCAAACAAAGCUCAGCUGCACAUAAUUAUUGUCGUUAGCUGAUCAGCUUUUCUGGUAGAAACUAACUUUGCAUUAAGAAGUCUCUCUUCAAACAAUUCUGAUUGACCUUUAUGUCAGCACCAGACAUGAGCUUUUAUGAAGAAGAUCAUUGAAAACUCGCACAAAUGUUCACAUUUCAUCAGACUUUUCACCCUGAAAUUCUAUCUAUGAUAUAAGACAAAGUACAGCACCGCAGUAGACUGCUAUUAUGCGACUUGUCAGAAAAAUGUCUCUUGUCUUCCCUUCUGCAGAUGGACAAGGCCGCCUUGCUGGCCAGGGUGGUGGACCAAGUGAAGCAUCUGAAGCGGAGAGCAAGCGAGGCCGCACAGCUAAGGCCCGCCGUCCCGCCGGAGGCCGAAGAGGUCUCCGACGAAUUCUGCUGCACCGGGGACACGGACGACGACGAUAGACGCCUGUACAUUAAGGCGUCUGUCAGCUGCGACGACCGCCCGGACCUCGUCGCCGGGCUCAUCCAGGCGCUCCAUGGCCUGAGACUUUUACCCCCAUCCCUCUCUCUUCUUCGUCUUCCUCGCGCCGACCACUGCCGCAUGUGCUCUGCCGCCGUCGUCGACCUUCUCCAACAGCUCCAACCUGGCCGCUGCAUCAACCUGACCUUGACCAGAGAUCGCGGCGCCACUCCGCUGUCCGUCAAGCACCACCAGGUACUCGCUUCUCCUCAUUUCCAAUCUGCAUUAGGCUGCCCUAGUUCGUCGGGGGACGAUGUGUUCGUCCAAGUUCAUCCUAUCUUUUCCAUCUACGCUUAGUUCAAUCCAAAAGCAGUACUGAAGUUGUGCGGUAGCAGUUCUAGCAUCUUCUUCCAAUCGUAGAUGUAUCCCCUUUCCCUGAGAUUCAUUCCCAGCUCGCAUGUUUUUCCACUGCCAUAUUUAGGUUUAGUAAUUAUUCAUCCUUUUCUGAACUACCAAACGCAUAUGCCUGCGUUGGCUACAUUUCAUAUUGGGCCGACCCAAGGAGGCUUGUAUGGUAGAGUCUCUAUUCCGGCAUUAUGAAUUUUUGUCAAAUUUGGGAACAAUUUUGAAGUUUGUUAACAUUUUGAACAAUUUUAAAAAUUCAUGAACAUUUUUGGAAUAUUCAAACAUAUUUUCGGAAUCAUGAAUUUUUUUAUUUCCCAAACUUUUUUUCGAAAUCAUGAAAUUUUUUCAAUAUCUAUUUUUUUUAAAAAAUCACGAACAUUUUUGAAUCCACGAACAAUUUUGGAAUUCACAAACAUUUUAUGAUAUCUCAAACAUUUUUUUCAAAAUUUGCAUUUAAAAAUGGAAGUUUUUUGAAAUCUCAGAUUAUUUUAAAGAGUAAAAAAUGAAAAAAAAAGGGGGCGUCCCACCCCGCACAUUGGUUGGCCAAAAAAACACGUGCGGGGGAAGCGGGAGGUGCGCUUUCGUUCCUAUUCAACGCAUAAGUUGCUGAAUAGGAGCUCCCAUAUGUAGUUAGGGAGGAGGCUGAAACCGGCACCAGGCUCUUCUCUCCCACCUCCGUCUCUCUUCUCCGAUCCCCUUCAUGCUACCCCUGCAUCUGGAAUUAGCUACCUCAAACUCCGUAAUCUUGUUAUGUUGAUUGGUUAGCAAGUGGGACGCUAACACGAACGGUAAUUAAAAUUCAUAUAUUAUAUGGCCAGACACCACUCCCUGAACAAGACCCGUACCUAAUUGAAUUGCAGCUGAUCAAUUAUCAAUGUUGCGUGAGCACUAAACUAGUUAUACAACAACAUAAAGUGGAAACAAACGGUUGUUCAAAAGAAGAGCUGCAAAAGGGUUUCCCAAAGUGAUAAAAGUGCAAUCUCUUUGAUCACUUUGGCAAAUCGUAAUGUUCAUGGCCUUUGUU